AGAGUUUGAUCCUGGCUCAGGACGAACGCUGGCGGCGUGCUUAACACAUGCAAGUCGAACGGAAAGGCCCUUCGGGGUACUCGAGUGGCGAACGGGUGAGUAACACGUGGGUGAUCUGCCCUGCACUCUGGGAUAAGCCUGGGAAACUGGGUCUAAUACCGGAUAGGACCGCAUGCUUCAUGGUGUGUGGUGCAAAGCUUUUGCGGUGUGGGAUGAGCCCGCGGCCUAUCAGCUUGUUGGUGGGGUAAUGGCCUACCAAGGCGACGACGGGUAGCCGGCCUGAGAGGGUGACCGGCCACACUGGGACUGAGAUACGGCCCAGACUCCUACGGGAGGCAGCAGUGGGGAAUAUUGCACAAUGGGCGCAAGCCUGAUGCAGCGACGCCGCGUGAGGGAUGACGGCCUUCGGGUUGUAAACCUCUUUCAGUAGGGACGAAGCGAAAGUGACGGUACCUACAGAAGAAGGACCGGCCAACUACAUGCCAGCAGCCGCGGUAAUACGUAGGGUCCGAGCGUUGUCCGGAAUUACUGGGCGUAAAGAGCUCGUAGGUGGUUUGUCGCGUUGUUCGUGAAAACUCACAGCUUAACUGUGGGCGUGCGGGCGAUACGGGCAGACUAGAGUACUGCAGGGGAGACUGGAAUUCCUGGUGUAGCGGUGGAAUGCGCAGAUAUCAGGAGGAACACCGGUGGCGAAGGCGGGUCUCUGGGCAGUAACUGACGCUGAGGAGCGAAAGCGUGGGUAGCGAACAGGAUUAGAUACCCUGGUAGUCCAA
RNAcentral lists this ribosomal RNA (773 nucleotides) under uncultured bacterium. Its description in RNAcentral is "bacterial SSU rRNA". It matches the Rfam family "Bacterial small subunit ribosomal RNA", at positions 8 to 798 of the family's 1533-position model. The record is from RNAcentral.